GUUCCCUCCCAAACCAAUUGUCUCUGGAUCUGCAAAGGAUCUAAUCAGCCAGAUGCUUGUCAAGGAGUCUUCACAACGUCUGCCAUUGCACAAGCUUCUGGAGCAUCCAUGGAUUGUGCAAAACGCUGAUCCUUCUGGUAUCUACAGAGGUUAAAAAAACAAAACGCUUUCAGUUCUAACUGUUCUUGGCAAUCUCGAGCCAAACUGUUAUCUAGAAAGACAAGAACACCAUUGUGUAGGUGUAUGAAUCUUCUUUAUUAUUUUUAUUUUUUUGCUCAUUCAUGUUUCGAAUAAAUUGUAUCCCAAGAAAAAUCUCAAGUAUCUGUAAUUCUGUAUUAUGUAGUAGUAUGUUCUAUGUCAUUAACGGGAGCAGGAAACUCUACAAAGUGU
Non-coding RNA from Camelina sativa (false flax), 390 nucleotides. NCBI's taxonomy places the organism in Eukaryota, Viridiplantae, Streptophyta, Magnoliopsida, Brassicales, Brassicaceae. The record is from RefSeq and is a predicted model, not a curated record.